AUGCCCAUAGAAGAGAUAGUGGUUUGGAUAAGAUUAGAAGCCGGUGACCAUAUUUGUCCACAAAAGAGACAAUGUGCUAGCAUCUGGCUCAAGUUAAAGAAUUUUUUUAUUCCUUGGAUGCAAAUUAUAUUUUAUUCGGAAGCAGAUUCUAAUAUCUCUAGAAGCAAUGUCUUAUUGAUGGAAACAAAUAUUUUUUUUCUGUUGGGAGCAAUUCCAUGUUACACUUAUACAAUUUUUGGUUGUCGUAUUGUGUGUAGCAAAAAAAUACACUGGUAUAUUGUACAUGUUUUUUCACUAGAUCGAAGCAAUCAUCCGCUGGCAUGA
This 324-nucleotide ribosomal RNA is filed under the name Triticum aestivum (bread wheat). RNAcentral's name for it is "partial small subunit ribosomal RNA". Lineage: Eukaryota; Viridiplantae; Streptophyta; Magnoliopsida; Poales; Poaceae. The record is from RNAcentral.